Molecule: non-coding RNA, 228 nt
Organism: Biomphalaria pfeifferi
Lineage: Eukaryota; Metazoa; Mollusca; Gastropoda; Planorbidae
Source: the annotation of a GenBank genome assembly
AAUGUGACACUUUUUUUUUUUUUUUACUUUUUAGCCUGCAUGUUAUUGGAACAUGAAAUGUGUGUAUGCUUGAUAACAAUCAUUCAAUAUGUGUCACUGAUAGACAAUGUAAAUAGCUAAUUAUAAAUUGAGCAGAAUUGUUUCUUUCCUUUUAAAAAUAUGUACUAUAUUUUAUCCAAAUUUUUUAAUGUGCAAGUAGAAUUAUAAAUAAUAUGAAGUGAAAUGUGA